Lophium mytilinum is the source of this 93-nucleotide non-coding RNA. Lineage: Eukaryota; Fungi; Ascomycota; Dothideomycetes; Mytilinidiales; Mytilinidiaceae. The record is from the annotation of a GenBank genome assembly.
GUCGGUGUGGUUUAGUUGGCUAUAAUGGUUCCGCGGCGGCUGCAAGUCCAGCCAUACCCGGAAAGGACCCGAGUUCGAUCCUCGGCGCCGACC